RNAcentral lists this ribosomal RNA (284 nucleotides) under gamma proteobacterium MPD-88. Its description in RNAcentral is "partial 16S ribosomal RNA". It matches the Rfam family "Bacterial small subunit ribosomal RNA", at positions 1188 to 1471 of the family's 1533-position model. Lineage: Bacteria; Pseudomonadati; Pseudomonadota; Gammaproteobacteria. The record is from RNAcentral.
AGUCAUCAUGGCCCUUACGGCCAGGGCUACACACGUGCUACAAUGGCGCGUACAGAGGGCUGCAAGCUAGCGAUAGUGAGCGAAUCCCAAAAAGCGCGUCGUAGUCCGGAUCGGAGUCUGCAACUCGACUCCGUGAAGUCGGAAUCGCUAGUAAUCGCAAAUCAGAAUGUUGCGGUGAAUACGUUCCCGGGCCUUGUACACACCGCCCGUCACACCAUGGGAGUGGGUUGCACCAGAAGUAGAUAGCUUAACCUUCGGGAGGGCGUUUACCACGGUGUGAUUCA